GAUCCUGACUCAGGACGAACGCUGGCGGCGCGCCUAACACAUGCAAGUCGAACGAGCGAGAGAGAGCUUGCUUUCUCAAGCGAGUGGCGAACGGGUGAGUAACGCGUGAGGAACCUGCCUCAAAGAGGGGGACAACAGUUGGAAACGACUGCUAAUACCGCAUAGGCCCACGACCCGGCAUCGGGUAGAGGGAAAAGGAGCAAUCCGCUUUGAGAUGGCCUCGCGUCCGAUUAGCUAGUUGGUG
RNAcentral lists this ribosomal RNA (244 nucleotides) under uncultured bacterium. RNAcentral's name for it is "partial 16S ribosomal RNA". It matches the Rfam family "Bacterial small subunit ribosomal RNA", at positions 15 to 254 of the family's 1533-position model. The record is from RNAcentral.